RNAcentral lists this ribosomal RNA (294 nucleotides) under uncultured bacterium. RNAcentral describes it as "partial 16S ribosomal RNA". It matches the Rfam family "Bacterial small subunit ribosomal RNA", at positions 333 to 644 of the family's 1533-position model. The record is from RNAcentral.
UGUCUCCUACGGGGCGCAGCAGUAGGGAAUAUUGCUCAAUGGGGGAAACCCUGAAGCAGCAACGCCGCGUGGAGGAUGAAGGUUUUAGGACUGUAAACUCCUUUUGUGAGAGAAGAUAAUGACGGUAUCUCACGAAUAAGCACCGGCUAACUCCGUGCCAGCAGCCGCGGCAAUACGGAGGGUGCAAGCGUUACUCGGAAUCACUGGGCGUAAAGAGUGCGCAGGCGGGCUUGUAAGUCAGAUGUGAAAUCCUGUAGCUUAACUACCGAACUGCAUUUGAAACUAUGAGUCUAG